GACGGAGGAGGCAAGCGUUCUCUGGAAUUAUUGGGCGUAAAGGGUACGUAGGCGGCUGGUCAAGUCUGGGGUCAAAGGCCACAGCUCAACUGUGGGAAGGCCCUGGAACCUGGCCGGCUAGAGUGAGGUAGGGGUUGCGGGAAUUCCCGGUGUAGCGGUGAAAUGCGUAGAGAUCAGGAAGAACACCUGAGGCGGAAGCGUGCAACUGGGCCUCAACUGACGCUGAGGUACGAAAGCUAGGGGAGCCAAUGGG
Molecule: ribosomal RNA, 253 nt
Filed under: uncultured bacterium
Lineage: Bacteria
Description: partial 16S ribosomal RNA
Rfam family: Bacterial small subunit ribosomal RNA
Source: RNAcentral